RNAcentral lists this long non-coding RNA (1328 nucleotides) under Marmota monax (woodchuck). Lineage: Eukaryota; Metazoa; Chordata; Mammalia; Rodentia; Sciuridae. The record is from RNAcentral.
GUCAACACUUUUUCAAAAAAUAUUUUUUUUUGGUUAUAGGUGGACACAAUACUUUUAUUGUAUUUAUUUAUUUUUAUGUGGUGCUGAGGAUCAAACCCAGUGCCUCACACGUGCCAGAUGAGUAUUCUACCACUGAGACACAACCCCAGCCCAUGAGUUAACACUUUGCAAAAUUCUUUUAGUUUAAUCUACACAGACCUUUGUGCCUAGCAACUUGAAAGCAAGGUUUCUGACAGUCAUUUGUGAUGUCUUUUAUUUAUAAUCAGUGUCAAAGCCCAGAAAAAUGACAUAAAAUUUCAGAUUUUCACUCAGUGAAUUGUAUUUUCUUAGCUUUAGGAGGAUGUUAAAUCAGCUCUUGGAAUCGUGCCUUACUGGGCUUUGGUUUGCAGUGGUCCUCAGGUGUCAUUUGAAAUCAAUCCAUCAGCAGCAAAGUGAUUGCCAGAUGCUGAGCGUUCACCCACAGAAAGGGACAUGUUAGCUGAAAUAUGCAGUGGAAUGGACAGUAAGGAGCAUGGGGCAUAGUCCCAGACAGCUAGUUCAGUUUUUAUCCUUGCUACUCAGCAACAGUGUGACUUUGAUCAAGUUUAUUAGCUUCUGAGUCUGUUUUCUCAUCUCUGGAGCAGUGAAGUGCCUUUUUCGUUGGAUUCAAUGUUAAAGGAGAUGCUGAUUUAAACUGCUGACCAUGCUGCCUGACAUGUAAUGAUGCUCAGUAAUGUUUUGUCAUUAUGAGGAUCCAGGGUGGUGAGGUAGGGGAAAUUAUAGAGCAGGGAGGGUUGGGUGAGUAUGGUGUCCCUUGGAGUGGAGAUGGCUUAUCAGGGAGACACAUGCAGACCAAGCCACUGCCAUCCCAUCCUCAGAGUCAACUAAGCUUUAGCUUGAGUUCCUGGGCCACAUUUGGUAGACUUCUUUGUGGCCCUGUCAUCUGUGGGGGUUCACAGAAGACUCAACAUUUCUCUCAGCUACAGCCAAUUAUAAACUUCUAAUUUUGCUGAGGUCUUGAUCUUAUUAUAGUUUGUACUUUGACCUUGUUGUCUCUUCUGUUCCUGGGAUUCUUGCUCUACUGAAAUAACCUCUUUACUACUAAGAGUCCUGUUGAUGUUAGUUCCAUGUACCAGAAAUGCAGGCUUGAUGUUAGUGAGGGGUUUGCAGUGCAACAGACGGCAACUGAGAACCGACCUUUGCAAGUCCCAGCCUUUUGAAACCCUCAGCUCUGGGAAAUGUCCAUUGAUUUUUUUGUACUCUCCACUCAGGCACCAGCCUUCUACCACAUUGCUGAGCCUUGUCUCUUUCCUGCUUGACUCACUCAUUCCCAUGCCCCUAAGUACCUG